This 30-nucleotide small RNA is filed under the name Bombyx mori (domestic silkworm). Its description in RNAcentral is "ovarian small RNA-26960". The record is from RNAcentral. Lineage: Eukaryota; Metazoa; Arthropoda; Insecta; Lepidoptera; Bombycidae.
UCCAUCGGUGUCGCCGUAGCCGUACCGGGC